AACAUUAAAAUUUCAUCAAUCUAUUUUUAUUUUUUUAUUUGCUGUAUAUUCAACAAAUCCAUGAAGUUUACAUCAGCUGAAUUGGUGGUUGCAUGUGGGUUCUGUGAAUCAUGAUGAGGGAAUGGGUUUUGUACCUAAUAUUUUCUAUUGGUAGUCAUGUCAUUCACAGAAAUUGAUGUAUAGCUGGCUGGUAGUUCCUUUAUACAGUUUGCUUUGAUUUUAGGUCAAUUUCAUUCCAUUCUUUUGUUGUUUGUAUAAAAGAACAUUUUUGACUAACAAGAAAUUCCCUGCUCCAAGUAGUUAUACGUUGAUUAGGUUAUCUUCCCUUGAAGAUCUGUUCUGCACAGAAAAUUAUGUUUUGCCAUACAUUGUUCACUGAAAAUGUGUGUAUCCGUAUCAAGGUAUGGGGUUUGUAUCUAUUUGGUCAGUGGUGAUGUGAUUGAUAAGAAGGAAGAGGCUUUCUCACAAUCAGAUGCCAUUGCUCCAUUGUUUGUGUUACUAGGGAAUUCUCUUCUAGGUAGUGUAUUUGAUGAGUGUUGAUGUGAUUGAUAGAUUUUUAUUGAUGGUUGUGUAUACUUUCUUUUUCCAUUGAUUUGCUGUUUCCAAUGUAUCCCUACCUAGGACAUUUACCAACUCUCAUUGCCAUGAGUAGAAUCAUUGUUUGGGGUAGUUGAUGAUUGUUUUCCCUAUGGUGUAAUGAUAUUUAGGUGCACUGUAGUAGGUAUGGUGUCAUAUCUCAUUUUUUGCUUCCUAUUUCUUGAUUUCUUGAAACUUUCACUUGUUUUUCCUUUUUUUGUGUUGAUUCAGGUUUUGCUCCUAUGAUUAGUUGUCUCUAUGCCAUUGAAUGGAGAUGCAUGUGGACUCAGAUUUCGUUUUCCCUCCAUUUCCAUCCUCAACUUGAAUUCAAAAAACUGUUGAUGAAGAUGUUAUCCCUAAGACUUAUUUCAACAUGUUUCCUUUUUCUGAUUUGCUGAAUAUGAUCGAAGAUUAUGAUUUUUUAGUUGAUGUUAUUGGUCUUUUAACUUCAGUGGGAG
Arachis ipaensis is the source of this 1034-nucleotide non-coding RNA. NCBI's taxonomy places the organism in Eukaryota, Viridiplantae, Streptophyta, Magnoliopsida, Fabales, Fabaceae. The record is from RefSeq and is a predicted model, not a curated record.